Molecule: ribosomal RNA, 253 nt
Filed under: uncultured bacterium
Lineage: Bacteria
Description: partial 16S ribosomal RNA
Rfam family: Bacterial small subunit ribosomal RNA
Source: RNAcentral
UACGUAGGGGGCUAGCGUUGUCCGGAUUUAUUGGGCGUAAAGAGCGUGUAGGCGGCCAGAUAGGUCUGCUGUGAAAACUCGAGGCUCAACCUCGAGAUGUCGGCGGAAACCAUUUGGCUAGAGUCCGGAAGAGGAAAGUGGAAUUCCUGGUGUAGCGGUGAAAUGCGUAGAUAUCAAGAGGAACACCUGAGGUGAAGACGGGUUGCUGGGCUGACACUGACGCUGAGGCGCGAAAGCCAGGGGAGCAAACGGG